This 70-nucleotide transfer RNA is filed under the name Bucco capensis (collared puffbird). It matches the Rfam family "tRNA". From Rfam's summary of the family: Transfer RNA (tRNA) molecules are approximately 80 nucleotides in length. Their secondary structure includes four short double-helical elements and three loops (D, anti-codon, and T loops). Further hydrogen bonds mediate the characteristic L-shaped molecular structure. tRNAs have two regions of fundamental functional importance: the anti-codon, which is responsible for specific mRNA codon recognition, and the 3' end, to which the tRNAs corresponding amino acid is attached (by aminoacyl-tRNA synthetases). tRNAs cope with the degeneracy of the genetic code in two manners: having more than one tRNA (with a specific anti-codon) for a particular amino acid; and 'wobble' base-pairing, i.e. permitting non-standard base-pairing at the 3rd anti-codon position. Lineage: Eukaryota; Metazoa; Chordata; Aves; Piciformes; Bucconidae. The record is from Rfam by way of RNAcentral.
CAGAGAAUAGUUUAGUGUAAAAUACCAGCUUUGGGAGUUGGAGUCGGGGGUUUGAGGCCCCUUUCUCUGA